This 254-nucleotide ribosomal RNA is filed under the name uncultured bacterium. RNAcentral's name for it is "partial 16S ribosomal RNA". It matches the Rfam family "Bacterial small subunit ribosomal RNA", at positions 524 to 776 of the family's 1533-position model. The record is from RNAcentral.
UACGAAGGGGGCUAGCGUUGCUCGGAAUCACUGGGCGUAAAGGGUGCGUAGGCGGGUCUUUAAGUCAGGGGGUGAAAUCCUGGAGCUCAACUCCAGAACUGCCUUUGAUACUGAGGAUCUUGAGUUCGGGAGAGGUGAGUGGAACUGCGAGUGUAGAGGUGAAAUUCGUAGAUAUUCGCAAGAACACCAGUGGCGAAGGCGGCUCACUGGCCCAAUACUGACGCUGAGGCACGAAAGCGUGGGGAGCAAACAGG